Molecule: ribosomal RNA, 457 nt
Filed under: Neisseria flava
Lineage: Bacteria; Pseudomonadati; Pseudomonadota; Betaproteobacteria; Neisseriales; Neisseriaceae
Description: bacterial SSU rRNA
Rfam family: Bacterial small subunit ribosomal RNA
Source: RNAcentral
AUUGAACGCUGGCGGCAUGCUUUACACAUGCAAGUCGGACGGCAGCACAGAGAAGCUUGCUUCUUGGGUGGCGAGUGGCGAACGGGUGAGUAACAUAUCGGAACGUACCGGGCAGUGGGGGAUAACUAAUCGAAAGAUUAGCUAAUACCGCAUAUUUUCUGAGGAAGAAAGCAGGGGACCAUUUGGCCUUGCGCUGUUUGAGCGGCCGAUAUCUGAUUAGCUAGUUGGUGGGGUAAAGGCCUACCAAGGCGACGAUCAGUAGCGGGUCUGAGAGGAUGAUCCGCCACACUGGGACUGAGACACGGCCCAGACUCCUACGGGAGGCAGCAGUGGGGAAUUUUGGACAAUGGGCGCAAGCCUGAUCCAGCCAUGCCGCGUGUCUGAAGAAGGCCUUCGGGUUGUAAAGGACUUUUGUCAGGGAAGAAAAGGGCGGGGUUAAUACCCCUGUCUGAAGACG